CGCACACACACACGCACACGCACGUACCUGCACUAAAACAAAGAAUCUCUUCUUCCAUCGCUUCCACACAUUUUUGCCGAUGGUCCAGAGGUGGAUUAUGGGUCCUUUCAGUUGCGGUUGAGUGGCGUUCAGGGUCUCUGCAGUAUCUGGAUGGAGGAACUCAUGAGGCGUUUGACUGUAAGACUAGCCCUGAUGCAGACACGCAGACAAAUACAGCCCACACGUCCAAAACUGGGAAAGGUUUUCUGUUCAACGCUCUUUAUCUUCCAGUGCGAGCACUCCAGUACUCUCAGUGAAGAGCUUCACCUUGACAACAGGAAGAGGGAUCAUUACUUGGGCUUCGGCAGCCAGCAAUAAGGAUAAGGUGCCUCUCCAGGUGCUGAUAAUAGUUACUGUAAGAUGAACGGAGACUCAUGAAGAUAUUUCAUUCCACCAUCCUCCCUCAGGCGGCCGUGAGUCUGUUUCCAGACAAAACACGAGUUUUCCAAAAUCACGUUUUACGGUGAGAGGUACUCCACGGUGAGAGGUACUCCCACUGUGUGGUGUUUAGUGUUCAGAGAACAUUAAACACUCCCACUGUGUGGUGACAUCAUCCAGCAAAUGGCAACUUGACAAGGUCUAGUUACCCUUUGUCAUGGAACGCUCCUCCCCCGACGAGUCACGUGGUACA
Long non-coding RNA from Electrophorus electricus (electric eel), 670 nucleotides. RefSeq lists it as uncharacterized. Lineage: Eukaryota; Metazoa; Chordata; Actinopteri; Gymnotiformes; Gymnotidae. The record is from RefSeq and is a predicted model, not a curated record.